RNAcentral lists this ribosomal RNA (368 nucleotides) under uncultured organism. RNAcentral describes it as "bacterial SSU rRNA". It matches the Rfam family "Bacterial small subunit ribosomal RNA", at positions 526 to 896 of the family's 1533-position model. The record is from RNAcentral.
CGUAGGUGGCAAGCGUUGUCCGGAUUUAUUGGGUUUAAAGGGUGCGUAGGCGGCCCUGUAAGUCAGUGGUGAAAUACUCCAGCUUAACUGGAGGGGUGCCAUUGAUACUGCAGGGCUUGAGUGGAGUCGAAGUAGGCGGAAUUGACGGUGUAGCGGUGAAAUGCUUAGAUAUCGUCAAGAACACCGAUAGUGAAGACAGCUUACUAGGCUUCUACUGACGCUGAGGCACGAAAGUGUGGGGAUCAAACAGGAUUAGAUACCCUGGUAGUCCACACUGUAAACGUUGAUUACUCGCUGUUGGCGAUACACAGCCAGCGGCCCAGCGCAAGCGAUAAGUAAUCCACCUGGGGAGUACGCCGGCAACGGUG